This 396-nucleotide ribosomal RNA is filed under the name Gemmatimonadota bacterium. RNAcentral's name for it is "partial 23S ribosomal RNA". It matches the Rfam family "Bacterial large subunit ribosomal RNA", at positions 2536 to 2925 of the family's 2925-position model. Lineage: Bacteria; Pseudomonadati; Gemmatimonadota. The record is from RNAcentral.
CUUAUCACAUCCUGGGGCUGGAGAAGGUCCCAAGGGUCCGGCUGUUCGCCGGUUAAAGUGGUACAUGAGCUGGGUUCAGAACGUCGUGAGACAGUUCGGUCUGUAUCCGCUGUGGGCGUUGGAGGGUUGAGGGGUGCGGACCCUAGUACGAGAGGACCGGGUCGGACGGCCCGCUCGUGUCCCGGUUGCCCUGCCAAGGGCAGCGCCGGGUAGCGACGGCCGGUGGCGAUAACCGCUGAAAGCAUCUAAGUGGGAAGCGCCCCCCGAGAUGAACCCUCCCGGAGCUUCGAGCUCCCUGAAGGGCCGUCGGAGACGACGACGUCGAUAGGCCGCCCGUGGACAGUGGGCAACCACCUCCAAGCGCAGCGGUCCUAAUCGCCCGUGCGGCUUGACUAC